Molecule: ribosomal RNA, 253 nt
Filed under: uncultured bacterium
Lineage: Bacteria
Description: partial 16S ribosomal RNA
Rfam family: Bacterial small subunit ribosomal RNA
Source: RNAcentral
UACGGGGGGGGCAAGCGUUGUUCGGAAUUACUGGGCGUAAAGGGCUCGUAGGUGGCCAACUAAGUCAUACGUGAAAUCCCUCGGCUUAACCGGGGAACUGCGUCUGAUACUGGAUGGCUUGAGGUUGGGAGAGGGAUGCGGAAUUCCAGGUGUAGCGGUGAAAUGCGUAGAUAUCUGGAGGAACACCAAUUGCGAAGGCAGCUCGCUGGGACGUUACUGACGCUGAGACGCGAAAGCGUGGGGAGCAAACAGG